RNAcentral lists this ribosomal RNA (440 nucleotides) under uncultured Staphylococcus sp. RNAcentral's name for it is "partial 16S ribosomal RNA". The record is from RNAcentral. Lineage: Bacteria; Bacillati; Bacillota; Bacilli; Caryophanales; Staphylococcaceae.
CACGUAGUUAGCCGUGGCUUUCUGAUUAGGUACCGUCAAGAUGUGCACAGUUACUUACACAUUUGUUCUUCCCUAAUAACAGAGUUUUACGAGCCGAAACCCUUCAUCACUCACGCGGCGUUGCUCCGGUCAGGUUUUCGCCCAUUGCGGAAGAUUCCCUACUGCUGCCUCCCGUAGGAGUCUGGACCGUGUCUCAGUUCCAGUGUGGCCGAUCACCCUCUCAGGUCGGCUACGUAUCGUCGCCUUGGUAAGCCGUUACCUUACCAACUAGCUAAUACGGCGCGGGUCCAUCUAUAAGUGAUAGCAAAACCAUCUUUCACUUUAGAACCUAUGCGGUUCUAAAUGUUAUCCGGUUAUUAGCUUCCCGGUUUCCGAGUUAUCCCGAGUCUUAUAGGUAGUUACCCAGUUGUUACUCACCCGUCGCCGUCUAACUCAAAGGU